GUAUUGGCCUACCGUGGCAAUGACGGGUAACGGGGAAUUAGGGUUCGAUUCCGGAGAGGGAGCCUGAGAAACGGCUACCACAUCUAAGGAAGGCAGCAGGCGCGCAAAUUACCCAAUCCUAAUACAGGGAGGUAGUGACAAGAAAUAACAACACAGGACUUUUUGGUUUUGUAAUUGGAAUGAGUUAAGUAUAAACCCCUUUACAAGUAUCAAUUGGAGGGCAAGUCUGGUGCCAGCAGCCGCGGUAAUUCCAGCUCCAAUAGCGUAUAUUAAAGUUGUUGCAGUUAAAAAGCUCGUAGUUGGAUUUCUGUUAAUAAUUUAUAUAGAAUAUUUUGAUGAAUAUUUAUAUAAUAUUAACAUAAUUCAUAUUACUAUAUAUUUUAGUAUGUGAAAUUUUACUUUGAGAAAAUUAGAGUGCUUAAAGCAGGCAUAUGCCUUGAAUACUCCAGCAUGGAAUAAUAUUAAAGAUUUUUAUCUUUUUUAUUGGUUCUAAGAUAAGAAUAAUGAUUAAUAGGAACAGUUGGGGGCAUUUGUAUUUAA
Molecule: ribosomal RNA, 540 nt
Filed under: Cryptosporidium parvum
Lineage: Eukaryota; Apicomplexa; Conoidasida; Eucoccidiorida; Cryptosporidiidae
Description: SSU rRNA
Rfam family: Eukaryotic small subunit ribosomal RNA
Source: RNAcentral